Molecule: long non-coding RNA, 197 nt
Organism: Neopelma chrysocephalum (saffron-crested tyrant-manakin)
Lineage: Eukaryota; Metazoa; Chordata; Aves; Passeriformes; Pipridae
Exons: 3
Source: RefSeq, a predicted model, not a curated record
CAGGCCUUAAAGCUCAUCUGGAAGGUGCCAGCCUGAAAGGAGUGGCCAUGGAGGGCAGUCAGAUGACAGGAAUUAGCCUCCGAGUUGCAACGCUGAGAAAUGCCAAACUAAAGAACUGUAACCUCAGGGGAGCAACGUUGGCAGGAACUGAUUUGGAAGUUGUGACCUCCAGGAAGCCAAUUUGAGGGGCUCAGAUG